ACACUACAAACCAUUAAAGUCUGAAAUGGCCUAUAUCUGUACUCGACUGUACUGAUUUUUACUCGACCAGUCUGGAUUGGUCUGACUUUUACUUGACAUUACUCGACCCCAGUCUGAACCAUACUUGACUGUACUGAUUCGUACUUGACCCUUAUCUUUGCCGUUGAAAAUAGUCUGAACUAUUACUCGACCAGUCUGAAACAGUCUUAACCCAUUCUCGACAUGUACUCGACCUAUUUUCCAGUCUAAACCAUACUUAACCAAAGGUCUGAACAAUACUCGACCAGUCUGAACCAUACUAGACCAAAACAAA
Molecule: long non-coding RNA, 313 nt
Filed under: Mytilus galloprovincialis (Mediterranean mussel)
Lineage: Eukaryota; Metazoa; Mollusca; Bivalvia; Mytilida; Mytilidae
Source: RNAcentral